CCUACGGGAGGCAGCAGUAGGGAAUUUUCGUCAAUGGGCGCAAGCCUGAACGAGCAAUGCCGCGUGAACGAAGAAGGUCUUCGGAUCGUAAAGUUCUGUUGAAGGGGAAAAAGAGCGGAGAGAGGAAAUGGUCUCCGAUUGAUAUUACCCUUCGAGGAAGUCACGGCUAACUACGUGCCAGCAGCCGCGGUAAUACGUAGGUGGCGAGCGUUAUCCGGAAUGAUUGGGCGUAAAGGGUGCGUAGGCGGCCUGCUAAGUCUGGAGUGAAAGGUACCGGCUCAACCGGUACAGGCUCUGGAAACUGGCGGGCUAGAGAGCAGGAGAGGUCGGUGGAACUCCAUGUGUAGCGGUAAAAUGCGUAGAUAUAUGGAAGAACACCAGUGGCGAAGGCGGCCGCCUGGCCUGUUACUGACGCUGAGGCACGAAAGCGUGGGGAGCAAAUAGGAUUAGAUACCCCAGUAGUC
Molecule: ribosomal RNA, 464 nt
Filed under: uncultured bacterium
Lineage: Bacteria
Description: partial 16S ribosomal RNA
Rfam family: Bacterial small subunit ribosomal RNA
Source: RNAcentral